This is a long non-coding RNA of Cyprinus carpio carpio, 505 nucleotides long. NCBI's taxonomy places the organism in Eukaryota, Metazoa, Chordata, Actinopteri, Cypriniformes, Cyprinidae. The record is from Ensembl.
UGAAUUCAGCGCAUUUUCCAAUCCGCAGGGGCGCCGAUCAGAGCGAACAUCAGAGAGUACAAGAUUCAUCACGCCGCCUCCGCCUGUCAGAAUAACGGCCACUAAAGUCAUCCUUUCAAAGUCAGCCUUCAGCUAAAACAAUGAAGGAGGGCAAAGCAAAUUCAGACACCCAAUGAAAAGACCAUCUUUGACGCCUCGAACAAUGGAUGGUCUUGUUUGAUGUGCAGUCACAUUUACCAGCAUUUUCAUGUGCCCGGCUUUCAGCUGUUUAGAGCACAUCACAACGCAGAAUCAACGGGGAAAUCGCGCUGCGGCAGGACAUGUUUUUACAUCAACGAAAGGUGGUGUACAGAUGUAACAAUGUUAAAGAAGAUGUGCUGUAAAACCGCAUUUUUCCAUCUCAAAAAUAUAUCUAAAUUACAGCCUAUGGUCUCAAUGUCAAACGCAGAAAUGUUAAUCCAUGGGUUUAUGACCUCAAGGUUAGAUUAGUGUAAUGCUUUAUUGG